RNAcentral lists this transfer RNA (80 nucleotides) under Planctomycetota bacterium. RNAcentral describes it as "Planctomycetes bacterium tRNA-Arg". It matches the Rfam family "tRNA", at positions 13 to 71 of the family's 71-position model. Rfam says of the family: Transfer RNA (tRNA) molecules are approximately 80 nucleotides in length. Their secondary structure includes four short double-helical elements and three loops (D, anti-codon, and T loops). Further hydrogen bonds mediate the characteristic L-shaped molecular structure. tRNAs have two regions of fundamental functional importance: the anti-codon, which is responsible for specific mRNA codon recognition, and the 3' end, to which the tRNAs corresponding amino acid is attached (by aminoacyl-tRNA synthetases). tRNAs cope with the degeneracy of the genetic code in two manners: having more than one tRNA (with a specific anti-codon) for a particular amino acid; and 'wobble' base-pairing, i.e. permitting non-standard base-pairing at the 3rd anti-codon position. RNAcentral also lists the same sequence under 1 other name. Lineage: Bacteria; Pseudomonadati; Planctomycetota. The record is from RNAcentral.
UAGCCCGUACCCAACGGCAGGAGCGUACAAACAUUUCCCUUCGGAGGAAGAGGUUGCAGGUUCGAAUCCUGCCGGGCCGA